GAUGAACGCUGGCGGCGUGCCUAAUACAUGCAAGUCGAGCGAACAGACGAGGAGCUUGCUCCUCUGACGUUAGCGGCGGACGGGUGAGUAACACGUGGAUAACCUACCUAUAAGACUGGGAUAACUUCGGGAAACCGGAGCUAAUACCGGAUAAUAUAUUGAACCGCAUGGUUCAAUAGUGAAAGACGGUUUUGCUGUCACUUAUAGAUGGAUCCGCGCCGGAUUAGCUAGUUGGUAAGGUAACGGCCUACCAAGGCUACGAUGCGUAGCCGACCUGAGAGGGUGAUCGGCCACACUGGAACUGAGACACGGUCCAGACUCCUACGGGAGGCAGCAGUAGGGAAUCUUCCGCAAUGGGCGAAAGCCUGACGGAGCAACGCCGCGUGAGUGAUGAAGGUCUUCGGAUCGUAAAACUCUGUUAUUAGGGAAGAACAAAUGUGUAAGAAACUAUGCACGUCUUGACGGUACCUAAUCAGAAAGCCACGGCUAACUACGUG
This 497-nucleotide ribosomal RNA is filed under the name uncultured bacterium. RNAcentral describes it as "partial 16S ribosomal RNA". It matches the Rfam family "Bacterial small subunit ribosomal RNA", at positions 28 to 507 of the family's 1533-position model. The record is from RNAcentral.